GCCGGGCGCAGUGGCUCACGCCUGUAAUCCCAGCACUUUGGGAGGCCGAGGCGGGUGGAUCACCUGAGGUCAGGAGUUCGAGACCAGCCUGACCAACAUGGAGAAACCUCGUCUCUACUAAAAAUACAAAAUUAGCUGGGCGUGGUGGUGCAUGCCUAUAAUUCCAGCUACUAAGGAGGCUGAGGCAGGAGAAUUGCUUGAGCCUGGGAGGCAGAGGUUGUGGUGAGCCGAGAUCGUGCCAUUGCACUCUAGCCUGGGCAACAAGAGUGAAACUCCGUCUCA
RNAcentral lists this small RNA (282 nucleotides) under Chlorocebus sabaeus (green monkey). RNAcentral describes it as "Metazoan signal recognition particle RNA (ENSCSAG00000021160.1)". Lineage: Eukaryota; Metazoa; Chordata; Mammalia; Primates; Cercopithecidae. The record is from RNAcentral.